ACCAGACUCCUACGGGAGGCAGCAGUGGGGGAUAUUGCACAAUGGGGGAAACCCUGAUGCAGCGACGCCGCGUGGGUGAAGAAGUAUUUCGGUAUGUAAAGCCCUAUCAGCAGGGAAGAAAGAAGACGGUACCUGACUAAGAAGCCCCGGCUAACUACGUGCCAGCAGCCGCGGUAAUACGUAGGGGGCGAGCGUUAUCCGGAUUCACUGGGUGUAAAGGGAGCGUAGACGGCCGUGCAAGCCAGGAGUGAAAGCCCGGGGCCCAACCCCGGGACUGCUCUUGGAACUGUGCGGCUGGAGUGCGGGAGGGGCAGGCGGAAUUCCUGGUGUAGCGGUGAAAUGCGUAGAUAUCAGGAGGAACACCGGCGGCGAAGGCGGCCUGCUGGACCGCGACUGACGUUGAGGCUCGAAAGCGUGGGGAGCGAACAGGAUUAGAUACCCGCGUACU
RNAcentral lists this ribosomal RNA (448 nucleotides) under uncultured bacterium. RNAcentral describes it as "bacterial SSU rRNA". It matches the Rfam family "Bacterial small subunit ribosomal RNA", at positions 330 to 794 of the family's 1533-position model. The record is from RNAcentral.